AAAAUUUCCACGUCGGCAAAAGUCAAGAUGGAAGGGAGCGGAGCGGAGCGCGAGGGGGGAGCCGGCCCGGGAAUGCCUGGCGGCCGGCGCUGGAGGGGCAGGCUGGGGAGCCUGCGGCGGGCGCACGAGGGGCCACUCGCGAAGGUGUCCCGGCCCAGCGCGACCACCGCCCCCAACCCCGGGAGCCUCUGGGCGCCCCGCACUCCGCCAGCCGCCCGUGCACCCCGGCCCGGGGGACGCAGCCCACUGCCCCUCCGGCCUUGUCUCUUAGGGGUGGCGGGGGAUGGAACGGUGGCGAGGGGUUUGGGGGAAGAUGGGAAAGCACUUUCCAGACCUGUUGCACGCGCGCAACAGCUGUUCAGGUGCGGUAUGUGGGGGGAGGGGGUCUGCUAGGAUGGGGGACAGAGUGGUCGCUUAUGCUGCAGGGAAAAGGGGGUGCCGGGAGGGGGAGAAGAGCAGUCUUGGGGACUGUGUGCAAGGUUGUGCGCGAACGGGGUCCGCGGGAAGCACUGCCUAAUGGGGCAGGGAGAAUCCCAAAGAGUGGGUGGGUGGAACGGAGGGGAUGGGACGACUUCGACCCGAGUUCCCGGGGCUGGGCGCGGGCGGCUGGAAGACCGGGAAUAGAGUACUGGGAAUGGCUGGGGAAGGGGGUCUCAGGGGAGGCCCCGCAAAGCGGGUCUUUCUUGGGUCGUCCCAUCUUAGGGGCUUUUCCCGGGCCUGUAUUUGUUCCCCACCGUUUAACUCUUUCAGCUCCGAAUAUUCGUCCUCGUGCAGCGCCCCCGCCCCCAGCUUUCCAGAUGGGAAGGUAAAAAGUUGCCACAAGUUAGAGUGAGUUAGCUGCUGGCAAAAGUUUAAAUAACUACCGAGGGAGGUGAGGGUUCGACCAGGAAUGGGUUCUAAUCUGAGGACGGGUAGGAAGGAAGGAGAGUGUGCGAUUCUUGCAGCCCCUUUGCUGUGACAUUGCGACCAGAAUUUGUCGAAUCGGGCUGUUAAAACACCAUUUCUGUUGGGCAUUUGCUCCUGCUGACUGCGGCAGUAACUUUCCAUAAUUAAUGACCCGUUCCAUUAUCGGUCGCAUCCUGAACUAAAUUGCUUUUAACGAGUUAUUCUUCUUUGUCUUAGCUGGGGGGUGGGGGAACACACCUGCAGGAAGAAACUUCUGGAGGAAGACAGCACGUUUGGUCUUUUGAGGCAAAGUUCUGAGACACUCCGACUCUGAGUAUGAUAGAAGUCAGUGCACUACAGAACUUUGUCUCUAGAGGCUGUGGUCGCCGAUGCCGCCAGUGCUCCAGACGCCAGGCCGAGUGGCCCUGGUGGCCACGUCGCUGCGCCUUUCCCUUGGGGGAGGGGCAAGGCCAGAGGGGGUCCAAGUGCAGCACGAGGAACUUGACCAAUUCCCUUGAAGCGGGUGGGUUAAACCCUGUAAAUGGGAACAAAAUCCCCCCAAAUCUCUUCAUCUUACCCUGGUGGACUCCUGACUGUAGAAUUUUUUGGUUUAAAGAAGAAAAAAAUAAAGCUUUGGACUUUUCAAGGUUGCUUAACAGGUACUGAAAGACUGGCCUCACUUAAACUGAGCCAGGAGAGCUGCAGAUUUAUUAAUGGGUGUGUUAGUGUGCAGUGCCUUGCAGGAAUUUAAACUCUCUACCCUUAAAGAAGGAAAUGUAUUUGUACAAAAGCCACAGAUAAUGGUCCUUUUACUCAAGCGACCUGCUGGAUAAAUGACAGCCUGCAGGGAUUGAGUUUGGAGAUCUAGUCUCAAUUCUGCUUCCGAUUUAGAUGCAGUUCACUUUUGUUUUUUAAAGUAAGUUUUAUUAAUGGAAAGGAAGAACUUUUUCCAAGAAAGCAUUUUGAAAGCCACUGGGGGAGGGGGACAUUUAUGCUUUUGGGCUGUGGAGAUCCUUUAGGUGGAGAGACUGCUCUCUCAUCCCUAGUGGAAUGGAGGUUUGGGUUGGUGAGUUUCUAUCAAUAGCCUGCUCUCUAUAGUGGGUCAGUGACUGGCACCAAAUUGUAGUCCUGUUCCAUGGACAUUGCCCUGUUUUGGUUUUAUGAGCUUUUGGCCAGGCACAGGACGCAGGGUGGUAGGGAAAAAAGGAAAUGGUUCCUGUGCCCGUGGUGCUGACAGGUAAGGGAAGGGCCUUCUGAUGUAUUUUAUGGGAUGCUUCAGAAACCUGGGGGUUGCUUGUGUCUCUGGGAAGCCCUUGGUAAAGAAAGCCACCAUUUUUUUUACUUAGGUAUAUUCCAGUGGUUUAUCAUCGGGAGAGGGAUGAUAAUGGAGGAAGGCUCAAUGAGGGAGAAAGUAUUCAGCUGCUUGAUGUUAGAGCUUAAUGGCAGGACCUACCAGUUGCUUUUCACAGAAAUGCUGUGUAUUGAUCCUAAGGCAGCAUGUGUUCUCUUUUGUGUGGCCAUUAUCCAUUCUCCCACUUUUCCAUCAGUGACUGCUUUGCUUUUGUUCCUCAAUCCUUUACCCAAAAAUGGCUGAAUUAUUUCUGUGCAGUUAAAUAAAGUGAUCCAAACUCAAGUACGUCUUGUGUUCAUUUGAGAUGUAAGGUAUGCUUACUUGAGGAAGAGGAUUCUCUUUCCUAGUUCUUAUGUCUGUACAUCUCCACAAGAUAGUCUGAAUAUACUGAAUUUUAAGAAAACUUAAAUCAACUUUGUAAGAGAAUGGGAGGUAAAGAGUGGAGCGGUUGACUGGGAGAGUAGUCAUCCAUACAAAGGAAUUAGGUCAGGAUCUCUCACCUCCAGAGAAAGGCAAGGUUUGGAGUCCCUGACAUGAUUCAGUCUGGUUUGACUUCUAUGCUUAAGUGAUUUGCAUUUCUCCUGUUUGUGACCACAAGUGAGUUAAGGACUAACCAAGCAGGAGGGCUGUGGUUUACUCUGGUGCUAAGGAUGCCAGGAAUAGGAACUGGGAAAAUCGGCAGUCUUGGGGUGCUUACUGUAAACCUGGCAUGGUCUCAUAGACCUCAGUCGUUUAGCAAUCAGUGUAUUUUCACCUCCCGAGCAUCAGGUGUUACUCUAGACGUUACGAAUGCAACAGUGAACAAAAUAGGCCCCGAACCCUGCCCUCUUGGAGGUCUUUCUCAUGCAAGAGGUAGACAAUACAAAUAUAAAAUAAUCAGAAGGGUGAUAAACGUCAGGGAAGGAAGAACAAGGAACGCUGGGGAGGCCGUGGUGUUCAUUUAACCCAGAUCGCUGGGCAAAGGAAACCAUCACUAGCAACCUACUUUGCAUGGCCUUGGCACUCCUGUCUUUAUUUUAGAUACUUUAUGUGAAUGAACCAAACAGGUGCAGCUGAAACUUUAGUCAUGCAUUGCUUAAUGAUGAGGAUAGGUUCUGAGAAACGUGGUGUUAGGCGAUUUCAUUGUUUUUGCAAACAUCACAGAGUGAGUGUUCUUAAACCUGGGUGGUAGAGACUACCACACACUUAAGCUGUAUGCCAUAGCCUAGUGCUCCUGGGCUACAAACCUGUGCAGGAUGGUACUGUACUGAGUGCUGUAGGCAAAUGUAACACAAUGGUAAGGAUUUAUUUAACCGUACAAAAGGUACAGUAAAAAUACAAUAUAAAAUGUAAAAAAUGUUACACCCAUAUGGGACACUUAGCAUGCAUGGAGCUUGUGGGACUAGAAGUUGCUCUGGGUGAGUCAGUGAGUGGUGAGUGAAUGUGAAGGCCUAGGACGUUACACUAUUGUAGACUUUAUAAAUAUUAUAAACUUAGGCUACACUAUAUUUAAAAAAAAUGCUAUGACAUGACAGCUGUGACAUCAUUAGGCUGUAGGAAUUUUUCAGCUUCAUUAUAAUCUUACGCGACUACUGUCAUAUAUUUGGUCCAUUGUUGACUGAAAUAUCCUUAUGCAGUGCGUGACUAUCACUCAACACUGAAAGCCUUUAAUUUUUUAAAGAACAUUUUAAAUUUCAAAUGCAAGGGUUGGGAAAUAUGGGGGGGCGUGCAGAGGAGCUGGGAAGCCAUGGUGCUGGGUCACUGAUUCCCCAUU
RNAcentral lists this long non-coding RNA (3989 nucleotides) under Homo sapiens (human). Its description in RNAcentral is "non-protein coding lnc-HNRNPA2B1-10:3". The stretch from base 1187 to 1259 matches the Rfam family "mir-148/mir-152 microRNA precursor family". Lineage: Eukaryota; Metazoa; Chordata; Mammalia; Primates; Hominidae. The record is from RNAcentral.